CCUACGGGAGGCAGCAGUGAGGAAUAUUGGUCAAUGGGCUUACGCCUGAACCAGCCAAGUCGCGUGAGGGAAGACUGCCCUAUGGGUUGUAAACCUCUUUUGUCAGGGAGCAACGCCGGCUACGUGUAGCCGGACUGAGAGUACCUGAAGAAAAAGCAUCGGCUAACUCCGUGCCAGCAGCCGCGGUAAUACGGAGGAUGCGAGCGUUAUCCGGAUUUAUUGGGUUUAAAGGGUGCGUAGGCGGAAUGCCAAGUCAGCGGUAAAAUCGCGGGGCUCAACCUCGCGCCGCCGUUGAAACUGGCGUUCUUGAGUGGGCGAGAAGUAUGCGGAAUGCGGGGUGUAGCGGUGAAAUGCAUAGAUAUCACGCAGAACUCCGAUUGCGAAGGCAGCAUACCGGCGCCCAACUGACGCUGAAGCACGAAAGCGUGGGUAGCGAACAGGAUUAGAUACCCUUGUAGUC
RNAcentral lists this ribosomal RNA (460 nucleotides) under uncultured bacterium. RNAcentral's name for it is "partial 16S ribosomal RNA". It matches the Rfam family "Bacterial small subunit ribosomal RNA", at positions 338 to 795 of the family's 1533-position model. The record is from RNAcentral.